Molecule: non-coding RNA, 115 nt
Organism: Danio rerio (zebrafish)
Lineage: Eukaryota; Metazoa; Chordata; Actinopteri; Cypriniformes; Danionidae
Source: Rfam
UGUGGCUGCUAUCUCUCUCCCACUCUCACAUGGUCACCCACUGAAGCUAAGCAGGGCUGCACCUGGUUAGUACCUGGAUGGGAGACCACAUGGGAAAGCUAGGUUGCUGCCGGAA